ACGCUCGACACCUACGGGGGGCAGCAGUGGGGAAUAUUGCACAAUGGGGGAAACCCUGAUGCAGCGACGCCGCGUGAAGGAAGAAGUAUCUCGGUAUGUAAACUUCUAUCAGCAGGGAAGAAAGUGACGGUACCUGACUAAGAAGCCCCGGCUAACUACGUGCCAGCAGCCGCGGUAAUCUGAGGCGGGCGUGGCGAAGGC
RNAcentral lists this ribosomal RNA (201 nucleotides) under uncultured bacterium. Its description in RNAcentral is "partial 16S ribosomal RNA". It matches the Rfam family "Bacterial small subunit ribosomal RNA", at positions 328 to 538 of the family's 1533-position model. The record is from RNAcentral.